AGCGGCGGACGGGUUAGUAACGCGUGGGAAUAUGCCCAAAGGUACGGAAUAGCCUCUGGAAACGGAGAGUAAUACCGUAUGUGCCCUUCGGGGGAAAGAUUUAUCGCCUUUGGAUUAGCCCGCGUUGGAUUAGGUAGUUGGUGGGGUAAUGGCCUACCAAGCCUACGAUCCAUAGCUGGUUUGAGAGGAUGAUCAGCAACACUGGGACUGAGACACGGCCCAGACUCCUACGGGAGGCAGCAGUAGGGAAUCUUAGACAAUGGGCGAAAGCCUGAUCUAGCCAUGCCGCGUGAGUGAAGAAGGCCCUAGGGUCGUAAAGCUCUUUCGCCAGGGAUGAUAAUGACAGUACCUGGUAAAGAAACCCCGGCUAACUCCGUGCCAGCAGCCGCGGUAAUACGGAGGGGGUUAGCGUUGUUCGGAAUUACUGGGCGUAAAGCGUACGUAGGCGGAUUAGUCAGUCAGAGGUGAAAUCCCAGGGCUCAACCCUGGAACUGCCUUUGAUACUGCUAGUCUUGAGUUCGAGAGAGGUGAGUGGAAUUCCAAGUGUAGAGGUGAAAUUCGUAGAUAUUUGGAGGAACACCAGUGGCGACGCGGCUCACUGGCUCGAUACUGACGCUGAGUACGAAGUGUGGGGAGCAAACAGGAUUAGAUACCCUUGUAGUUCACACGUA
Molecule: ribosomal RNA, 671 nt
Filed under: uncultured bacterium
Lineage: Bacteria
Description: bacterial SSU rRNA
Rfam family: Bacterial small subunit ribosomal RNA
Source: RNAcentral